Molecule: ribosomal RNA, 116 nt
Filed under: Klebsiella pneumoniae
Lineage: Bacteria; Pseudomonadati; Pseudomonadota; Gammaproteobacteria; Enterobacterales; Enterobacteriaceae
Source: RNAcentral
CCUGGCGGCACUAGCGCGGUGGUCCCACCUGACCCCAUGCCGAACUCAGAAGUGAAACGGCGUAGCGCCGAUGGUAGUGUGGGGUCUCCCCAUGUGAGAGUAGGGAAUAGCCAGGC